CAUUAAGAAGCUAUGAAACAGCGCUAGCCUUUUAAGCUAGAGAUAGGGGACAUACUCCCCCUUAAUGA
Molecule: transfer RNA, 68 nt
Filed under: Phainopepla nitens
Lineage: Eukaryota; Metazoa; Chordata; Aves; Passeriformes; Bombycillidae
Rfam family: tRNA
About the family: Transfer RNA (tRNA) molecules are approximately 80 nucleotides in length. Their secondary structure includes four short double-helical elements and three loops (D, anti-codon, and T loops).
Source: Rfam by way of RNAcentral